This 69-nucleotide transfer RNA is filed under the name Fundulus luciae (spotfin kllifish). Its description in RNAcentral is "tRNA-His". It matches the Rfam family "tRNA". Rfam says of the family: Transfer RNA (tRNA) molecules are approximately 80 nucleotides in length. Their secondary structure includes four short double-helical elements and three loops (D, anti-codon, and T loops). Lineage: Eukaryota; Metazoa; Chordata; Actinopteri; Cyprinodontiformes; Fundulidae. The record is from RNAcentral.
GUUAAUAUAGUUUAACAAAAACGUUAGAUUGUGAUUCUAAAGAAGGAGGUUAAAAUCCUCUUAUUUACC